GUUGGGUUUUAAAAACAUAUCAGACCCUUUCCUACACAAUAACCAAACCCUCAAAGAUCUCUUUGAAGUCAUAAUCAGAUGGCAGUGACACCAUUAUGAGGGGUCCCACCAUUUUUAGCAUGUAUCCUCAUCCAUUUUUGGAGAUAUCUAGGGACUUGCCUACAAGGUCAAGAACAUGUGUGUUUGGACAUAGUCUAAAGGGCAAAUGCCUUUCAGAAUGCCGGGAUUACGAGGCUUGUGCCACCGCGACACGUAGCUCACAAAGUCCUUUCUUAUCCUGACUUCCUCAUGGUCAACUCCAUUUUGCCAGAAGGAAAAUUAAUACUUGAAGGAAUUGGGUAAUGUGUCCAAAGACAUAAUCACCAAGUGACACAGUCUGGGUUUUCCUGAUUCAACAUCCUAAUCAAGAGAUUUUUGAACAUCUUUGCUUUAAAGAAAUGAAAGAAGCAACUACUUAAAACAGGGCCAUGGAAUAAUGGAGGUGGAAGAGAAGAUGGAGAAAAAGGAGGAGUCAUCUAUUGCAUGAAUCAUGGGCAAAAGGAAGAUGUGAUGGUCUAAAUCAAGGAUCAGAUAAGUGGGUUUCAGAGAAAAUUCCUCCUGCUCUUCUGGACAUCAUGUGUGCAGACAGUGGAUAAGAAGUGCUGCAGCUGCCUUGCUGUCAGCCUGUGGGUAAAGGCAGCGCAGGAGGAACAGAGCAUGAGGAGACAGAGCCAGCUGCUGAUGUUCAAAGGCCCUCUUCACUCUCAGUUGUGACCCAGGCCAAACCACCACUGUGGACCAUGUGCUGACUCUUCAUGACUCAGUGACAGAAGGAGCUGCAAGUGAGCAAAUUGUCAUCUAAACCUAAC
This 848-nucleotide long non-coding RNA is filed under the name Heterocephalus glaber (naked mole-rat). RNAcentral describes it as "lncRNA (ENSHGLG00000032406.1)". Lineage: Eukaryota; Metazoa; Chordata; Mammalia; Rodentia; Bathyergidae. The record is from RNAcentral.